AAGGGCGAGAGGAUCCUGCUCAACAAUUUCAACAGCUCAGCCCCUUGCUGCUGGUCACACCAGAGCACCGGCUCAUCGGGAGUUCUCUGUUUGCAAAAUUAACCUGGGAGUAGUUGUAAAUAAGGCUGGAGCUCCCAGGGAGCAGCUGAGGGACGUCCCUGCCUGCUGCCACCAUUUCAGCGCACGGGUCCAGAUUUUAGCUCCGAGCUACCGCAGAUGUCAGCAACACAAGAGGUGCCUGACGCCGCAGGAAAAGACAACCUGUCACCCUUCGGAGCAGGAAACCGGCUCCUUCAUCCCACACCACGACUCACGUGGGAAACAGAAGCUAAAGC
This is a long non-coding RNA of Columba livia (rock pigeon), 335 nucleotides long. RefSeq lists it as uncharacterized. The transcript is spliced from 3 exons. Lineage: Eukaryota; Metazoa; Chordata; Aves; Columbiformes; Columbidae. The record is from RefSeq and is a predicted model, not a curated record.